UUAAUUAUGGUUUGUCCCCCACCCCCCAUAUAUAAGUUAGAAUAUCUUAGAUCAUUAGUUUGGUUAUCUUUUUUUUCUUUUUUUUCAGAUCUCCACCACGAAGUUUUGUUAUCACAUGAUUCACAUCGUGUAUUUUAUAAGGUUGAUACAUAAUUCACAUCGUUAGUUAGAUUGAACAAAACUAGAAGAAAAGAACCGUCUUCUUCUGUACGUAUGAUCAAUUUUUUUUAAAAAAAUGUGUAGGUACGUACGGAGUUCAAAACAUUGGUUCCAAAGAUCGCAUGAAAGAAGAAAGAAGGAAAACAAAAUCAAAGGCUACCUCAACUCAAGAUAUCACUAGCUGGUGGUAAUGAACGAAUCUAUAACUUUGGAUAUGCGAAAUACUUGAAAUUUAAACAUGUAUUCUAUUAAGUUGUAGUCUAUCAGGAUAUGUAUAAUACAAAUAUUCUUUUGAUGACUAAGAACAAGGUAAUGUAUGAAACAAAAAAAAUAAAAAAUAAUAAUGAAUGACAACUUGGA
Molecule: long non-coding RNA, 519 nt
Filed under: Arabidopsis lyrata
Lineage: Eukaryota; Viridiplantae; Streptophyta; Magnoliopsida; Brassicales; Brassicaceae
Description: long non-coding RNA (ALYR_LNC001797)
Source: RNAcentral